RNAcentral lists this ribosomal RNA (425 nucleotides) under uncultured bacterium. RNAcentral's name for it is "partial 16S ribosomal RNA". It matches the Rfam family "Bacterial small subunit ribosomal RNA", at positions 354 to 796 of the family's 1533-position model. The record is from RNAcentral.
GUGGGGAAUCUUGCGCAAUGGGCGAAAGCCUGACGCAGCCAUGCCGCGUGAAUGAUGAAGGUCUUAGGAUUGUAAAAUUCUUUCACCGGGGACGAUAAUGACGGUACCCGGAGAAGAAGCCCCGGCUAACUUCGUGCCAGCAGCCGCGGUAAUACGAAGGGGGCUAGCGUUGCUCGGAAUUACUGGGCGUAAAGGGCGCGUAGGCGGACAGUUUAGUCAGAGGUGAAAGCCCAGGGCUCAACCUUGGAAUUGCCUUUGAUACUGGCUGUCUUGAGUACGGGAGAGGUGAGUGGAACUCCGAGUGUAGAGGUGAAAUUCGUAGAUAUUCGGAAGAACACCAGUGGCGAAGGCGACUCACUGGCCCGUUACUGACGCUGAGGUGCGAAAGCGUGGGGAGCAAACAGGAUUAGAUACCCCGGUAGUCC